Molecule: transfer RNA, 73 nt
Filed under: Euretaster insignis
Lineage: Eukaryota; Metazoa; Echinodermata; Asteroidea; Velatida; Pterasteridae
Description: tRNA-Met
Rfam family: tRNA
About the family: Transfer RNA (tRNA) molecules are approximately 80 nucleotides in length.
Source: RNAcentral
GACAAAGUAAGCUAGUGGUAAAGCUUUUGGAUUCAUAUUUCAAAAAUGGAAGGAUAAAUACCUCUCUUUGUUU